Molecule: long non-coding RNA, 320 nt
Organism: Oncorhynchus keta (chum salmon)
Lineage: Eukaryota; Metazoa; Chordata; Actinopteri; Salmoniformes; Salmonidae
Exons: 3
Source: RefSeq, a predicted model, not a curated record
GUACUGUUAGAGAUUAGAGACAGGACUGGGUGUUCAGGUACUGUUAGAGAUUAGAGACAGGGCUGGGUGUUCAGGUACCUUGAGAGAUUAGAGACAGGACUGGGUGUUCAGGUACCGUUAGAGAUUAGAGACAGGACUGGGUGUUCAGGUACCGUUAGAGAUUAGAGACAGGGCUGGGUGUUCAGGUACCUUGAGAGAUUAGAGACAGGGCUGGGUGUUCAGGUACCGUUAGAGAUUAGAGACAGGGCUGGGUGUUCAGGUACCUUGAGAGAUUAGAGACAGGGCUGGGUGUUCAGGUACCGUUAGAGAUUAGAGACAGG